Molecule: ribosomal RNA, 1590 nt
Filed under: Staphylococcus capitis
Lineage: Bacteria; Bacillati; Bacillota; Bacilli; Caryophanales; Staphylococcaceae
Description: partial 23S ribosomal RNA
Rfam family: Bacterial large subunit ribosomal RNA
Source: RNAcentral
CCAUGUGCCUACAAUCCGUCAAAGCCUCCUUGUGGGGUGAUGGCGUGCCUUUUGAAGAAUGAGCCUGCGAGUCAGGGACACGUCGCGAGGUUAACCCGUGUGGGGUAGCCGUAGCGAAAGCGAGUCUGAAUAGGGCGCCCAUAGUGGCGUGUUCUGGACCCGAAGCGGAGUGAUCUACCCAUGGCCAGGGUGAAGCGGCGGUAAGACGCCGUGGAGGCCCGAACCCACUUAGGUUGAAGACUGAGGGGAUGAGCUGUGGGUAGGGGUGAAAGGCCAAUCAAACUCCGUGAUAGCUGGUUCUCCCCGAAAUGCAUUUAGGUGCAGCGUCGCGUGUUUCUUGUUGGAGGUAGAGCUACUGGAUGGCCGAUGGGCCCUACUAGGUUACUGACGUCAGCCAAACUCCGAAUGCCAAUAAGUUAGAGCGCGGCAGUGAGACGGCGGGGGAGAAGCUCCGUACGUCGAGAGGGAAACAGCCCAGAUCGCCGGCUAAGGCCCCUAAGCGUGUACUAAGUGGAAAAGGAUGUGCAGUCGCGAAGACAACCAGGAGGUUGGCUUAGAAGCAGCCACCCUUGAAAGAGUGCGUAAUAGCUCACUGGUCAAGUGAUUGUGCGCCGACAAUGUAGCGGGGCUCAAGUACACCGCCGAAGCCGCGGCAUUCAUGCAAUACAUUCCCUUCGGGGCAGUGGCAUGGAUGGGUAGGGGAGCGUCCUGCACCCAGCGAAGCUGCGAAGUAAUUCAGCAGUGGAGGGUGCGGGAGUGAGAAUGCAGGCAUGAGUAGCGACAGGCAAGUGAGAAACUUGCCCGCCGAAUGACCAAGGGUUCCUGGGCCAGGCUAGUCCUCCCAGGGUAAGUCGGGACCUAAGGCGAGGCCGACAGGCGUAGUCGAUGGACAACGGGUUGAUAUUCCCGUACCCGUGUGUGCGCGCCCAUGAUGAAUCAUCGGUACUAACCACCCAAAAGGUUCUAGAUCAAUCUCUUCGGAGUGCGACGUGAACCCGCUGCGUGGGACCUUCGGUGGUAGUAGUCAAGCGAUGGGGUGACGCAGGAAGGUAGCUGUACCGGUUAGUGGUUAUACCGGAGCAAGCCCGUAGGACGACAUCUAGGCAAAUCCGGGUGUCAUACGUCUGAGAGGUGACGCAUAGCCGAUUGAGGCGAAUUCAGUGAUCCUAUGCUGCCAAGAAAAGCCUCUAGUGAGUUCACACACGGCCCGUACCCCAAACCAACACAGGUGGUCAGGUAGAGAAUACUAAGGCGUACGAGAUAACUAUGGUUAAGGAACUCGGCAAAAUACCCCCGUAACUUCGGGAGAAGGGGGACCUCGCUUGGUGACCGGACUUGCUCCGUGAGCUGAACGAGGUCGCAGAGACCAGUGAGAAGCGACUGUUUACUAAAAACACAGGUCCGUGCGAAGUCGCAAGACGAUGUAUACGGACUGACGCCUGCCCGGUGCUGGAAGGUUAAGAGGACCCGUUAACCCUUGGGUGAAGCGGAGAAUUUAAGCCCCAGUAAACGGCGGUGGUAACUAUAACCAUCCUAAGGUAGCGAAAUUCCUUGUCGGGUAAGUUCCGACCUGCACGAAUGGCGUAACGA